GGAAUCCUACGGGAGGCAGCAGUGAGGAAUAUUGGUCAAUGGUCGGGAGACUGAACCAGCCAAGCCGCGUGAGGGAUGAAGGUACAGAGUAUCGUAAACCUCUUUUGUCAGGGAACAAAGGCGGGGACGCGUCCCCGGAUGAGUGUACCUGAAGAAAAAGCAUCGGCUAACUCCGUGCCAGCAGCCGCGGUAAUACGUAGGGGGCAAGCGUUAUCCGGAUUUACUGGGUGUAAAGGGAGCGUAGACGGCUGGCCAAGUCUGAAGUGAAAGCCCGGGGCUUAACCCCGGAACGGCUUUGGAAACUG
This 305-nucleotide ribosomal RNA is filed under the name uncultured bacterium. RNAcentral describes it as "bacterial SSU rRNA". It matches the Rfam family "Bacterial small subunit ribosomal RNA", at positions 333 to 635 of the family's 1533-position model. The record is from RNAcentral.